This 80-nucleotide ribosomal RNA is filed under the name Trifolium pratense (red clover). Its description in RNAcentral is "rRNA LSU_rRNA_eukarya". It matches the Rfam family "Eukaryotic large subunit ribosomal RNA", at positions 24 to 103 of the family's 3401-position model. The record is from RNAcentral. Lineage: Eukaryota; Viridiplantae; Streptophyta; Magnoliopsida; Fabales; Fabaceae.
CCCAAUGAAUUUAAGCAUAUCAAUAAGUGGAGAAAAAGAAACUAACAAGAAUUCUCUUAGUAACAGCGAGCGAACCGGGA